Mycetomoellerius zeteki is the source of this 404-nucleotide long non-coding RNA. RefSeq lists it as uncharacterized. The transcript has 2 exons. The record is from RefSeq and is a predicted model, not a curated record. Lineage: Eukaryota; Metazoa; Arthropoda; Insecta; Hymenoptera; Formicidae.
UCAUAUAUUCGUCCGCGUAUCGUCCGCGAAUCGACGUAGUCGUAGUCGUCGUUUAAACCGUCGCGUUAACUUCGGCCGCCCGUUUUCCUCGCCGUGGCCGUUUGCUCGUUUUCCAUUCGCGUACGGUAUUGUUCGUUGUCCGAUCAGCCUGCUCCCACCCCGUCACCGCUGUGCGCCCCUCCGCCCCUGUGGGAAACCUAUGUGUGCGGGAGGGAGGGGAGAGAGAGAGAGAGCGAGCGAGCGAGCGAGCGAGCGAGCGAGCUAAUAUAGUGCUGGACAGUGCCGAUCGUCCACACAACGUAGUGAAACACAGGACACCUGCAAUCGGCGGGUAAAUGUGGUGAAACGCAGUGAGAAAGGAGUGGAGACCAGAAGGAGAAGAGCACGGUCGCGGUAACAGGAGG